RNAcentral lists this microRNA precursor (83 nucleotides) under Bombyx mori (domestic silkworm). RNAcentral describes it as "mir-2807 microRNA precursor family". It matches the Rfam family "mir-2807 microRNA precursor family". The record is from Rfam by way of RNAcentral. Lineage: Eukaryota; Metazoa; Arthropoda; Insecta; Lepidoptera; Bombycidae.
UAAAAGUUAAUAUGGAGUUGGAGGAAUGUUUGCCUACGUUUGCCGCUAGGGGCGCUGUUCCAACUGCAUACAAAUUCGAGUUA